RNAcentral lists this transfer RNA (74 nucleotides) under Candidatus Omnitrophota bacterium. RNAcentral describes it as "tRNA-Val". It matches the Rfam family "tRNA". From Rfam's summary of the family: Transfer RNA (tRNA) molecules are approximately 80 nucleotides in length. Their secondary structure includes four short double-helical elements and three loops (D, anti-codon, and T loops). The record is from RNAcentral. Lineage: Bacteria; Pseudomonadati; Candidatus Omnitrophota.
GGGCGAUUAGCUCAGUUGGUUAGAGCAUCUGACUUACAUUCAGAAGGCAAAUGGUUCGAUUCCUUCAUCGCUCA